AUAUAUUUCGUUCUACUGCUCACCUAACUACUUAACACUUUGUUUUCCUAAUAAUGGAACAGCACUAAAAAAAGCUGCACAGAAACUACUGCAAAUAGAUACUGUGGAGAAAAAACAAAAGGAGGCACAAGCAAGUAUGCAUGUGAGCAAACUGCUGGAGAAGAUGAAUGAUAACUUACAAAAAGAAAGACAGAUGACUACAGUAAUUCAACAUGUAUUCCAGAAUAUCAUAAUUGGAAGCAGAAUUAACUGGGCAGAAGAUCCAUCUUUAAAGGAAAUUGUUCUACAGCUUGAGAAAAAUGUCCACGUUCUGUGAGUCAGAUAAAUGGUGUUCAAUCUUGUAGCCUAUGUGCUCAAUGUAUUAACCUUGAUAGAUUAAUAUACAUCAUGAAAGCACACUUUAAGAUUUUGAAAAUUUAAGCUUUCUGAAAGUUGUUCUCUCUAGAGACUCAGAACGUGGCCAUGCAACUCUCUGAAGUGAAACUUAAUUCCUGGUACACAACAAAUGUCUGAACAGGCAGCAUAGCUCAUGAAACUUGGCUGGAGCCACUUCAUAGCUGUCCUGUCCCAAGUGCUCAUUUCCCUCUGAAAGGCAGCAGUAACGCAAGAAAGAAGAACGAUCAAUAUAUUUCAAGCUUCUACGUAAAAGCAGGCUUAAAACAAGGCUCUGCCACUUCCGUCCUCUUCACCUGGGCAUCAGCGUGCUGGAGAGCUCACACGGGACGGAGAAGCCUGCGCUGCCUUUGUGGAAAGCCCAGACUGGAAAACCUAAAGUCAGUCUGUGGGGUUUUUUUACCUGUUCUUUAGUUAAAGCAUUAUGUACAAAUUUAAACACCAAAAAGUUUAUACUUUUAGGUUUAACAGUGUUAUGUGACUGUGCUAUGUGCAGGUUAGUUAAACAGUGUCCAGCAGUAGAUGCCACCUAUAGAUCCUGUCCCACGUAGCAGACUAUGACAACCCUAGGGAAAAUGCACGUAAAAUGGAAGAGGCGACUUCAUGCUAUCAACCACGCCAUUUGAAAUAUAUUUGUUACUGACAGUUGCGGUUUUGCUUUACAAGAAAAUUAGUAAGAUCAGCGUGUAAUAUUUUUAAGCGUUGUGAAUUUCAAUCAGCUUUUUUAAGUCGAGUAAUAAUAAAACGCAGACUCAUUCGAAG
This 1155-nucleotide long non-coding RNA is filed under the name Otus sunia (Oriental scops-owl). RNAcentral describes it as "lncRNA (ENSOSUG00000008743.1)". Lineage: Eukaryota; Metazoa; Chordata; Aves; Strigiformes; Strigidae. The record is from RNAcentral.